Molecule: ribosomal RNA, 250 nt
Filed under: uncultured bacterium
Lineage: Bacteria
Description: partial 16S ribosomal RNA
Rfam family: Bacterial small subunit ribosomal RNA
Source: RNAcentral
UACGAAGGGUGCAAACGUUGCUCGGAAUUAUUGGGCGUAAAGCGCACGUAGGCGGCAUUGCAAGUCGGAUGUGAAAUCUUAUGGCUUAACCAUAAAAGUGCAUCCGAAACUGCAGUGCUUGAGUACUUAAGAGGAUCGCGGAAUUCCCGGUGUAGAGGUGAAAUUCGUAGAUAUCGGGAGGAACACCAGUGGCGAAGGCGGCGAUCUGGGAAGAUACUGACGCUGAGGUGCGAAAGCGUGGGGAGCAAAC